GCCAGGUGUGAUGGCAUGUGCCUGUACUCCCAGCUACUCAGGAGGCUGAGGCAGGAGGAUCACCUGAGCCCAGGAGGUCUAGGCUGCAGUGAUCCAUGAUCACACCACUGUACCCCAGCCUGGGUGACAGAGUGAGACCCUGUCUCUC
This is a non-coding RNA of Gorilla gorilla gorilla (western lowland gorilla), 148 nucleotides long. It matches the Rfam family "Metazoan signal recognition particle RNA". Rfam says of the family: The signal recognition particle (SRP) is a universally conserved ribonucleoprotein. It is involved in the co-translational targeting of proteins to membranes. The record is from Rfam. NCBI's taxonomy places the organism in Eukaryota, Metazoa, Chordata, Mammalia, Primates, Hominidae.